AGUGAAGGUAGAGGUGCGAACUUAAUCAGUAAAAGCUUGGAGAAGGAUGAGCUUCAAGGAAAAGCUUUGAAAGGAAAGUUCGCCGAAGUGAAGAUAGUACUCAUUGCUUUCUUUGCUGGUCCUGCAUUGAAUAAAUGUUGGAUUGUCAAGACGUCUUGUCUUGGAGAGCUAUCUCACUG
This 179-nucleotide non-coding RNA is filed under the name Bacillus sp. (in: firmicutes). Its description in RNAcentral is "Bacillus sp. Lysine sequence". It matches the Rfam family "Lysine riboswitch aptamer". Rfam says of the family: Riboswitches are metabolite binding domains within certain messenger RNAs that serve as precision sensors for their corresponding targets. Allosteric rearrangement of mRNA structure is mediated by ligand binding, and this results in modulation of gene expression. Lineage: Bacteria; Bacillati; Bacillota; Bacilli; Caryophanales; Bacillaceae. The record is from RNAcentral. RNAcentral also lists the same sequence under 1 other name.